RNAcentral lists this ribosomal RNA (1202 nucleotides) under metagenome. RNAcentral's name for it is "bacterial SSU rRNA". It matches the Rfam family "Bacterial small subunit ribosomal RNA", at positions 326 to 1520 of the family's 1533-position model. The record is from RNAcentral.
CCGGUCCAGACUCCUACGGGAGGCAGCAGUGGGAAUCUUGCGCAAUGGGCGAAAGCCUGACGCAGCGACGCCGCGUGAGCGAUGAAGGCCUUCGGGUUGUAAAGCUCUGUGGGGAGGAAAGAAUAAGGGUUGGCUAAUAUCCAGCUCGAUGACGGUACCUCCUUAGCAAGCACCGGCUAACUCUGUGCCAGCAGCCGCGGUAAGACAGAGGGUGCAAACGUUGUUCGGAAUUACUGGGCGUAAAGCGCGUGUAGGCGGCUCUGUAAGUCGGAUGUGAAAUCCCACGGCUCAACCAUGGAAGUGCAUUCGAAACUACAGGGCUAGAGUUCUGGAGAGGAAGGUGGAAUGCUUGGUGUAGAGGUGAAAUUCGUAGAUAUCAAGCGGAACACCGGUGGCGAAGGCGGCCUUCUGGACAGUAACUGACGCUGAGACGCGAAAGCGUGGGGAGCAAACAGGAUUAGAUACCCUGGUAGUCCACGCCGUAAACGAUGAGUGCUAGGUGUCACGGGCUUUGACCCUCGUGGUGCCGAAGCUAACGCGUUAAGCACUCCGCCUGGGGAGUACGGUCGCAAGACUAAAACUCAAAGAAAUUGACGGGGGCCCGCACAAGCGGUGGAGCAUGUUGUUUAAUUCGACGCAACGCGAAGAACCUUACCUGGGCUAGAAAGUACAGGAAGUCGGUCGAAAGGUCGAUGUGCCCUUCGGGGAACCUGUGGUUAGGUGCUGCAUGGCUGUCGUCAGCUCGUGUCGUGAGAUGUUGGGUUAAGUCCCGCAACGAGCGCAACCCCUGUUGUUAGUUGCCAGCAUUAAGUUGGGCACUCUAACAAGACUGCCGACCUUUAAGUCGGAGGAAGGUGGGAUGACGUCAAGUCAUCAUGGCCCUUAUGUCCAGGGCUACAAACGUGCUACAAUGGUCGAUACAAAGGGUUGCGAACCCGCGAGGGGGAGCCAAUCUCAAAAAGUCGACCUCAGUACAGAUAGGAGUCUGCAACUCGACUCCUUGAAGUCGGAAUCGCUAGUAAUCGCUGAUCAGCAUGGCAGCGGUGAAUACGUUCCCGGGCCUUGUACACACCGCCCGUCACACCAUGGGAGUCGAUUGCUCCAGAAGUGCCUGAGCCAACCGCAAGGAGGCAGGGCCCCAAGGAGUGAUCGGUAACUGGGGUGAAGUCGUAACAAGGUAGCCGUAGGGGAACCUGCGGCUG